Molecule: ribosomal RNA, 492 nt
Filed under: uncultured bacterium
Lineage: Bacteria
Description: partial 16S ribosomal RNA
Rfam family: Bacterial small subunit ribosomal RNA
Source: RNAcentral
AUUGAACGCUGGCGGCAUGCUUUACACAUGCAAGUCGAACGGUAACAGGUUAAGCUGACGAGUGGCGAACGGGUGAGUAUGUAUCGGAACGUGCCCAGUCGUGGGGGAUAACGUAGCGAAAGCUACGCUAAUACCGCAUACGAUCUCUGGAUGAAAGCGGGGGACCGCAAGGCCUCGCGCGAUUGGAGCGGCCGAUAUCAGAUUAGGUAGUUGGUGGGGUAAAGGCCCACCAAGCCAACGAUCUGUAGCUGGUCUGAGAGGACGACCAGCCACACUGGGACUGAGACACGGCCCAGACUCCUACGGGAGGCAGCAGUGGGGAAUUUUGGACAAUGGGGGCAACCCUGAUCCAGCAAUGCCGCGUGCAGGAAGAAGGCCUUCGGGUUGUAAACUGCUUUUGUACGGAACGAAAAGGCUCUGGUUAAUACCUGGGGCUCAUGACGGUACCGUAAGAAUAAGCACCGGCUAACUACGUGCCAGCCGCCGCGGUAA